This is a long non-coding RNA of Aedes aegypti (yellow fever mosquito), 2501 nucleotides long. RefSeq lists it as uncharacterized. The transcript has 2 exons. Lineage: Eukaryota; Metazoa; Arthropoda; Insecta; Diptera; Culicidae. The record is from RefSeq and is a predicted model, not a curated record.
UUGAGCUCAACACCGAAUGUACGUACACUCAAAAAAAUCCACACGUCAAGGCUACGUGAAAAAUCACGUAGAUCGUUUGAAAAUAAACUUUUCUCUAAUUUACCGGACAACGGUAACAAUCACCCAGACGUAGAUAUACAUUGAAUGUUCUUUCAAUAAUUUUUACUGUUGGUGUCCAUCACUCUUACGUGAAAAAACACGUAGGCGUAAAUGAACUCAAAUGUUGACAGUUCAGUUUCUGUUUUGAACUGUCACCAGUGCAAAACGAGUAACAUCGUUGGAAGCAAACGCCAAGUCUCGACAUUACAAAAAAUGUUCACAAGAUUUUGGGCUGAGCAACGUACUUUCACCGCCAAUCGCAACUGGCUUAUCUCCAUUUAUCAGCGAACUCGAACUGACUCCGGUAAUGCGCAUCUGAUUGCAGAAAUAUUGCCGGUGUCCGGUGACCAAUACGCAUGACUAAGCAAGUUCUUGAAACUAGACCAAAUUUGCCGUCGAUUACUUCUGGUCGCAUCCAAUUUCAUCUAUUUUUCAUUAAGUUAUAAGCACAAACACUGUGUUAUAAGCAUUUGAAUUUUGCCUACGUUAAUAAUUUCCCCUGUAUUUAAUGUAAUCUUCCAUUCAGAUAUAUUUGGUGCUUUCGGUUUUCGCGAUUUUGCUGAUGAUUUAACUAGUGCUAGGAUUUCAAUUCAUACGUGAAUAGUGGAAAAAACUUCGAUUUUGAAUAAUGAAUAACCCUUUCGGACGCGUUUAGUGCGAUGGUUUUUGUUUGGUUCUAAUUAACUUUGUUAAUAUUUAUGCAUCUGCGUGAUCAUUUUUCGCGACAGUGCUUGUGUUUCGGACGACAGUACUACGCCACCCGGACGGAUGGUUCUGAUGAAUAGAAAUAAAAUUAUGUUUUUGUGAUUGUGUUAUGUGAUAACGUUAUAUUAAAUGUGUGAAAGUAAGAAUUAGAUAUGGUGGUGUUAAAACAUGUACGGAAUGUGGUCUAACAAUGACAAAUAAUAAUAUAUGCUUCACGCGGAGAAGGAAAUACUUAAUCGAUUGCUGAUGGGAUUUGAUGACAACGUCGAAUCGAAUGGAUUUUGGUGAGAUUGUUCUGAUCACAUAUGUAUCGAUAACUAAAUAUUAAAUACGCGCCAGUUUCAAAGAAAACAUCUUUGAAACAGGAAGUGUGUAUGUAUUAUCAUUAUCCAUUUGAUAACGGUUAUGCAUACAUGCGGGGCUUGUUGUUAGUGAAAGUGACUUCUGAAUGGACGUGUCUCUCCAGCCAUUCUGAAAUGGGUCAUUGGAUCUGCAAUAGAGCUAUCACCUUCUAACUCCCGGACUGAAGCUUUUUGCAAAAAUGUAGUAUCAAAGCAGUUUUGCAGAAAACUUUUUUCCAUAAUACCACUGCCGGACAGUGGGGGUUAGAUGGAUCACACACACACACACACACACACACACACACACACACACACACACACACAUCUUCCAUUCAGAUAUAUUUCGAAAUAAUAAUAAUAAAACAUUUUGGUACAAUGAAAGGAACCUAAUUAAAACAUUUCUUUUAUUCAUAGAUUCCGUAAAAUUGAUAGUAUAAUUGCUUAGAAUCCAAUAAAACGCUCCGUAAAAGGUACUCACAAAACACUUAGCUGCUACGUGGAAUUCCCGUGAAUCGAGAAAAGUUCAUCAGCUCGAGUGUUCAUUCUGUGCUACCUAUGAUUCACGUAAGUGCUACGUGGAAAGUGCGAUGGAAAAAAAAACUACGUGUUUUCACGUAGCCUUGACGUUUGGAUUAUUUUGAGUGUACAAUAUGCAGAUGUCAAAAUGAACUUAGACACCUACGUGAAUUUCACGUAAGUGCGAUAGGUAACCUCAGUAACAAUUAUCGAGUCACUGAUUGGUGGUUAGGAAUAGCUUAGUGAUCUUUAUCUUGGUCAGGUGAAGUGGAGGUAAAAUGAAUUUGGAAUGAUCUACGUGAUUUUUCACGUAGCAAUGACGUUUGGAUUAUUUUGAGUGUAUUUGACUUACUUCGCCAGGCAUUUGAUCCUAUAACAUUUCCCUGAAUACCAUUACCGCGAAAACCAUCACCCCGAAUGUCAUUACCCCGAAUGGUCAUGUACCCCGAAAUCCAUUACCCCGAAUAGCCCGUUACCCCGAAUACCAUUUCCCCGAAUGGACCAUAACUCCGAAUUUUCUUGGCACCAAAACUUAAUCUCACUUACAGGCGUGCACUUGAUUUUGUAAGGAUGUUUGUUUUCGCAGCAAUAGAUCAUUUUUCGAAUUGAUGAUAAUGUUGAUAUUGAUUUCGUUUUCACAUGUUAAUGUUAGAGACCUCUCCUGCCCUCCUUCAAAAACGUAGUAUUCUUUUAUGGUAAUGCAUAAUUUUAUUUUUAUAUUGUAAAUGGCAAUGCGAGUUCAACAUUUUUUCGAAUGGUACUAGACUACGGUUCGAAAAAUCUUAGAUGAAAAUGUUAACUGAUAGUAUACUAACACUAUUUAAAAAGUACAUAGCUAAU